AUGAACGCUAGCGGCAGGCUUAAUACAUGCAAGUUGAGGGGGCAGCAUGAUAUACGCGAGUAUAUUGAUGGCGACCGGCGGACGGGUGAGUAAUAGGUAGGAGACCUACCUCAUACAGGGGGAUAGCAUAGAGAAAUCUGUGGUAAUACCCCAUGAGGUUAUAUGAAUAGAGGCAUAUAAUCAAAGCAUAAGCGAUUAUGCGGUAUGAGAGGGGCCUACUGACCAUUAGCUAGUUGGUGAGGUAAGGGCUCACCAAGGCGAAGAUGGUUAGGGGUUUUGAGAGAGAGACCCCCCACAUUGGAACUGAGAGACGGUCCAGACUCCUACGGGAGGCAGCAGUAGGGAAUAUUGGGCAAUGGGCGAAAGCCUGACCCAGCCAUGCCGCGUGAAGGAAGACGGCCUUAUGGGUUGUAAACUUCUUUACUACGCGAAUAGAGGUUAGUACGAGAUACUAAUAGGAAGGUAGUGUAGUAAAAAGCACCGGCUAACUCCGUG
RNAcentral lists this ribosomal RNA (495 nucleotides) under uncultured bacterium. Its description in RNAcentral is "bacterial SSU rRNA". It matches the Rfam family "Bacterial small subunit ribosomal RNA", at positions 30 to 507 of the family's 1533-position model. The record is from RNAcentral.